GAUGAACGCUGGCGGCGUGCCUAAUACAUGCAAGUCGAGCGGGGAUUGAAAAGCUUGCUUUUCAAUCUUAGCGGCGGACGGGUGAGUAACACGUAAACAAUCUACCUUGUAGACUGGGAUAACAUCGAGAAAUCGGUGCUAAUACCGGAUAAAAACUUUAUCCGCAUGGAUAAAGUUUGAAAGUUGGCUUCGGCUAACACUACGAAAUGAGUUUGCGGCGCAGUAGCUAGUUGGUGAGGUAACGGCUCACCAAGGCGACGAUGCGUAGCCGACCUGAGAGGGUGAUCGGCCACACUGGGACUGAGACACGGCCCAGACUCCUACGGGAGGCAGCAGUAGGGAAUUUUCCACAAUGGACGAAAGUCUGAUGGAGCAACGCCGCGUGUGCGAAGAAGGCCUUCGGGUUGUAAAGCACUGUUGUAAGGGAAGAAUGGGUGAGAGAGGAAAUGCUCUUGCUAUGACGGUACCUUACCAGAAAGCCACGGCUAACUACGUGCCAGCCGCCGCAGUAAUAC
Molecule: ribosomal RNA, 515 nt
Filed under: uncultured bacterium
Lineage: Bacteria
Description: bacterial SSU rRNA
Rfam family: Bacterial small subunit ribosomal RNA
Source: RNAcentral